Molecule: ribosomal RNA, 1438 nt
Filed under: uncultured organism
Description: 16S ribosomal RNA
Rfam family: Bacterial small subunit ribosomal RNA
Source: RNAcentral
CGAACGCUGGCGGCGUGCUUAACACAUGCAAGUCGAACGGAAAGGCCCUGCUUUUGUGGGGUGCUCGAGUGGCGAACGGGUGAGUAACACGUGAGUAACCUGCCCUUGACUUUGGGAUAACUUCAGGAAACUGGGGCUAAUACCGGAUAGGAGCUCCUGCUGCAUGGUGGGGGUUGGAAAGUUUCGGCGGUUGGGGAUGGACUCGCGGCUUAUCAGCUUGUUGGUGGGGUAGUGGCUUACCAAGGCUUUGACGGGUAGCCGGCCUGAGAGGGUGACCGGCCACAUUGGGACUGAGAUACGGCCCAGACUCCUACGGGAGGCAGCAGUGGGGAAUAUUGCACAAUGGGCGGAAGCCUGAUGCAGCAACGCCGCGUGCGGGAUGACGGCCUUCGGGUUGUAAACCGCUUUCGCCUGUGACGAAGCGUGAGUGACGGUAAUGGGUAAAGAAGCACCGGCUAACUACGUGCCAACAGCCGCGGUGAUACGUAGGGUGCGAGCGUUGUCCGGAUUUAUUGGGCGUAAAGGGCUCGUAGGUGGUUGAUCGCGUCGGAAGUGUAAUCUUGGGGCUUAACCCUGAGCGUGCUUUCGAUACGGGUUGACUUGAGGAAGGUAGGGGAGAAUGGAAUUCCUGGUGGAGCGGUGGAAUGCGCAGAUAUCAGGAGGAACACCAGUGGCGAAGGCGGUUCUCUGGGCCUUUCCUGACGCUGAGGAGCGAAAGCGUGGGGAGCGAACAGGCUUAGAUACCCUGGUAGUCCACGCUGUAAACGGUGGGUACUAGGUGUGGGGUCCAUUCCACGGGUUCCGUGCCGUAGCUAACGCUUUAAGUACCCCGCCUGGGGAGUACGGCCGCAAGGCUAAAACUCAAAGGAAUUGACGGGGCCCCGCACAAGCGGCGGAGCAUGCGGAUUAAUUCGAUGCAACGCGUAGAACCUUACCUGGGUUUGACAUGGAUCGGGAGUGCUCAGAGAUGGGUGUGCCUCUUUUGGGGUCGGUUCACAGGUGGUGCAUGGCUGUCGUCAGCUCGUGUCGUGAGAUGUUGGGUUAAGUCCCGCAACGAGCGCAACCCUUGUUCACUGUUGCCAGCACGUUAUGGUGGGGACUCAGUGGAGACCGCCGGGGUCAACUCGGAGGAAGGUGGGGAUGACGUCAAGUCAUCAUGCCCCUUAUGUCCAGGGCUUCACGCAUGCUACAAUGGCUGGUACAGAGAGUGGCGAGCCUGUGAGGGUGAGCGAAUCUCGGAAAGCCGGUCUCAGUUCGGAUUGGGGUCUGCAACUCGACCUCAUGAAGUCGGAGUCGCUAGUAAUCGCAGAUCAGCAACGCUGCGGUGAAUACGUUCCCGGGGCUUGUACACACCGCCCGUCAAGUCAUGAAAGUUGGUAACACCCGAAGCCGGUGGCCUAACCGUUGUGGGGGAGCCGUCGAAGGUGGGACUGGUGAU